Molecule: transfer RNA, 73 nt
Filed under: Stegodyphus mimosarum
Lineage: Eukaryota; Metazoa; Arthropoda; Arachnida; Araneae; Eresidae
Rfam family: tRNA
About the family: Transfer RNA (tRNA) molecules are approximately 80 nucleotides in length. Their secondary structure includes four short double-helical elements and three loops (D, anti-codon, and T loops).
Source: Rfam by way of RNAcentral
GCCUUCGUGGUGUAAUGGUCAGCACGCUGGACGAAUAACUGAGAGGUCCGUGGUUCGAGUCCCGGCGAGGAUA